This 83-nucleotide transfer RNA is filed under the name Pelodiscus sinensis (Chinese soft-shelled turtle). It matches the Rfam family "tRNA". Rfam says of the family: Transfer RNA (tRNA) molecules are approximately 80 nucleotides in length. Their secondary structure includes four short double-helical elements and three loops (D, anti-codon, and T loops). Lineage: Eukaryota; Metazoa; Chordata; Testudines; Trionychidae. The record is from Rfam by way of RNAcentral.
GUCAGUAUGGCCAAGUGGGGUAAGACACUGCAUUAAGGUUGCAGUCUCCCCUGAAGAUGUGGGUUUGAAUCCCACCUGUGAUA